GGUAUGGUAGUAGGUGCCUUUGAACAGGGUAUGGUAGUAGGUGCCUUUGAACAGGGUAUGGUGGUAGGUGCCUUUGAACAGGGUAUGGUGGUAGGUGCCUUUGAACAGGGUAUGGUGGUAGGUGCCUUUGAACAGGGUAUGGUGGUAGGUGCCUUUGAACGGGGUAUGGUAGUAGGUGCCUUUGAACAGGGUAUGGUAGUAGGGGCCUUUGAACAGGGUAGUAGGUGCCUUGGAACAGGGUAGUAGGUGCCUUUGAACAGGGUAGUAGGUGCCUUUGAACAGGGUAUGGUAGUAGGUGCUUUUGAACAGGGUAUGGUGGUAGGUGCCUUUGAACAGGGUAUG
Molecule: long non-coding RNA, 342 nt
Organism: Oncorhynchus tshawytscha (Chinook salmon)
Lineage: Eukaryota; Metazoa; Chordata; Actinopteri; Salmoniformes; Salmonidae
Source: Ensembl